Molecule: ribosomal RNA, 253 nt
Filed under: uncultured bacterium
Lineage: Bacteria
Description: partial 16S ribosomal RNA
Rfam family: Bacterial small subunit ribosomal RNA
Source: RNAcentral
UACAUAGGGUGCAAGCGUUGUUCGGAAUUACUGGGCGUAAAGCGCGCGUAGGCGGCCUUCUAAGUCAGACGUGAAAUCCCUCGGCUCAACCGGGGAACUGCGUCUGAGACUGGAAGGCUUGAAUCCGGGAGAGGGAUGUGGAAUUCCAGGUGUAGCGGUGAAAUGCGUAGAUAUCUGGAGGAACACCGGUGGCGAAGGCGGCAUCCUGGGCCGGUAUUGACGCUGAGGCGCGAAAGCCAGGGGAGCAAACGGG